UACGGGGGGUGCAAGCGUUAUCCGGAAUCACUGGGCGUAAAGCGUCUGUAGGCGGCCUUGCAAGUCACGUGUGAAAGCCCCGGGCUCAACCGUGGGAGGGCCAUGGAAACUGUAAGGCUUGAGUGUGGGAGAGGAGGGGGGAAUUCCCUGUGUAGCGGUGAAAUGCGUAGAUACAGGGAAGAACACCGGUGGCGAAAGCGUUCCUCUGGAAGGCAACUGACGAUGAGAGGCGAAAGCGAGGGGAGCGAACAGG
Molecule: ribosomal RNA, 253 nt
Filed under: uncultured bacterium
Lineage: Bacteria
Description: partial 16S ribosomal RNA
Rfam family: Bacterial small subunit ribosomal RNA
Source: RNAcentral